GACGAACGCUGGCGGCGUGCUUAACACAUGCAAGUCGAACGGAAAGGCCCUGCUUUUGUGGGGUGCUCGAGUGGCGAACGGGUGAGUAACACGUGAGUAACCUGCCCUUGACUUUGGGAUAACUUCAGGAAACUGGGGCUAAUACCGGAUAGGAGCUCCUGCUGCAUGGUGGGGGUUGGAAAGUUUCGGCGGUUGGGGAUGGACUCGCGGCUUAUCAGCGUGUUGGUGGGGUAGUGGCUUACCAAGGCUUUGACGGGUAGCCGGCCUGAGAGGGUGACCGGCCACAUUGGGACUGAGAUACGGCCCAGACUCCUACGGGAGGCAGCAGUGGGGAAUAUUGCACGAUGGGCGGAAGCCUGAUGCAGCAACGCCGCGUGCUGGAUGACGGCCUUCGGGUUGUAAACCGCUUUCGCCUGUGACGAAGCGUGAGUGACGGUAAUGGGUAAAGAAGCACCGGCUAACUACGUG
Molecule: ribosomal RNA, 468 nt
Filed under: uncultured bacterium
Lineage: Bacteria
Description: partial 16S ribosomal RNA
Rfam family: Bacterial small subunit ribosomal RNA
Source: RNAcentral